AAUAGAUACCCGGUAGUCCACGCCGUAAACGAUGAGUGCUAAGUGUUAGGGGUUUCCGCCCCUUAGUGCUGCAGCUAACGCAUUAAGCACUCCGCCUGGGGAGUACGGUCGCAAGACUGAAACUCAAAGGAAUUGACGGGGGCCCGCACAAGCGGUGGAGCAUGUGGUUUAAUUCGAAGCAACGCGAAGAACCUUACCAGGUCUUGACAUCCCAUUGACCACUAUGGAGACAUAGUUUUCCCUUCGGGGACAACGGUGACAGGUGGUGCAUGGUUGUCGUCAGCUCGUGUCGUGAGAUGUUGGGUUAAGUCCCGCAACGAGCGCAACCCUUGUUCUUAGUUGCCAUCAUUUAGUUGGGCACUCUAAGGAGACUGCCGGUGACAAACCGGAGGAAGGUGGGGAUGACGUCAAAUCAUCAUGCCCCUUAUGACCUGGGCUACACACGUGCUACAAUGGACGGUACAAACGGUUGCCAACCCGCGAGGGGGAGCUAAUCCGAUAAAACCGUUCUCAGUUCGGAUUGUAGGCUGCAACUCGCCUACAUGAAGCC
Molecule: ribosomal RNA, 550 nt
Filed under: uncultured bacterium
Lineage: Bacteria
Description: bacterial SSU rRNA
Rfam family: Bacterial small subunit ribosomal RNA
Source: RNAcentral